CUCCCGCCUUUCUACAGUACUUACUGAGCGAGCGGGACCGCUAGGAGGCCCGUUGCCAUGCCUGAGGAGAGCCAGCCAUUGCUGAGUUCCCUUCUCUUCGCUUGCCUUUGCUGGAUGUCACGGUUUCCACAAACAUGAAGUCGGUUUUAAGAGAGUGAAGAAGGAUAUUGAAAAUCCUCCUACUGAAAUGGUGGGAAGAUGGAGAGAAAAAUAGGAUGGAAUUAUGUUAUUUGUAACUGCAAUUCAAGGUGAAGUAAAAAGCAUCCAGAGAGUUGAAUGAAAAUCUGCACACAAAAGACAAUAAUGAAUGAAAUGAAUUUGGUGAUAAUGAUUCAGAGCAUUCUACUGCAAUCACUGUGGUCUGGGAUAGCACUCAAUCUUUUCAACAGUUAUGUGGAUGAAGGUACACAUGGAAAAGUUGUAAAAUUUAGAACUGGGCUGAAACUAUGGUGACAUUUUAAGGCAAUAAAGAGUUAAACAUACAGCAGUAUCAUGAAAAUCAACAAUAAUAAAGAAUCAGGGUGGCAAAAGCAAAAUGUAUACCAUGGGGCAAUAAUUAGUAAACAGCACUAUUUAAACUUGGGAUAGAUGGUGAAACCUUGUAUUUCUUAAGGAGAAAAUGCUCCUUGACUAAUCCCUUGUUCAGCGAUUUUUUAAAUACUGUUUAUAAAAAUUUAUAGAAUGGAUUCCAACUACUGUUUUCUCGUUGACACCUUUUUCUUUUUUGCUUUUCACAAAAUAUCUCUUAAGAAGACAAGGGGCCUUGCCAUUUUGGACCAGUAAUACUAGAAUUCUCUGCUUAGAAAUAUGCUUAAGUGGUCUGACCCUUUGGCUAUGGUAAAAAUGAGAAGUAAAGUUAAGCCUAUAACAAUGUUUAAUGUUUACAAGAUAUUAUAAUAAGGAAGAUUUGUGUUAUCCCCUCCCCAAGAAGCAAUUGCUGGAUCCAUCUGUUUUAGAUAACUUUGGCCCCAUCUCCAACCUUCCCUUUUAAAGGAGGGUUGCUAAAAAGUAGGUCCACUGGAGUUUCAGAGAUUCCUGGAAAAAAAAAACAGAUUAUCUGGACCCUGUUUAGUCGGGCUUCAGAUCUGGUAUAGGACUAAAAUGACAUUGAUUAUACAUGUGAAUGAUCUCUGGUAAGGCAGGAUGGGGUGAUGCAUCCAUCCUUGCUUACCUUGAUCUCUCAUUGAUUUUUGAUGCUGUGAAUCAUAAUAAUCUGAACUGGCUUUGGCUGCUAGGAGUGGGAGGUGUAGUUCUGAGUGGAUUCUUCUCUUCUGGGGCCUUCCUUCCUCCUGGGAGAAAAGAUCUAGCCUACAAUCCCUUCUCUGUGGAAUACUUAAGGGUUCUACACUCUCCCUAUUUCUAUUUAACAUUUAAUGAAGGCAUUGGCUGAAGGUAAGGCAUCAUCAAUAUGCUGAUGAUACAUAGCUCUAAAUGUCCAUCCUGAGCUAACCAAAAGAUGACAAUGAGUUUCUGUCUUAGUGUUUUGAGGUUGGUUGGGGAAUAAGAAGUUUCAGCUUCAUUCUAGCAAAAUGGAAGUUUUGGGCCCGCUGGAUUCAAUGUUUUCCCACCUUUGGUUUUGGAUGGGUUUGCACUACCCCAAACAGAACAGUGCACCAUACGAGUGCUCCCCUGGACUCAGAGUUCCUGUUUGAAAAGCAAGUGGUAACUUUGUUUUAGAAAAGUAGUACUUUUUGUGGGGUAUAAGACACUGCUCAUACUCAUACCUUAGUUACCCAUCAAGUGGAUUACUGCAGUGUGCUCUAUAGAGCUGCCCCAAAUGAGAACCAGAAGAUUAAAUUGGUCCUAGCCUAGCCACGCUUUUCCUCUGGAGCAGUGGUUCUCAACCUUUUUAAUGCCGCGACCCCCAACUGGUCAUAAGUCAAGGACUAAACCGGUUGUAAGUCGAGGACUAAACUGGUCAUAAGUCGAGG
Long non-coding RNA from Crotalus tigris (Tiger rattlesnake), 1931 nucleotides. RefSeq lists it as uncharacterized. The transcript has 3 exons. NCBI's taxonomy places the organism in Eukaryota, Metazoa, Chordata, Lepidosauria, Squamata, Viperidae. The record is from RefSeq and is a predicted model, not a curated record.